AAUACGAAGGGACCUAGCGUAGUUCGGAAUUACUGGGCUUAAAGAGUUCGUAGGUGGUUGAAAAAGUUAGUGGUGAAAUCCCAGAGCUUAACUCUGGAACUGCCAUUARAACUUUUCAGCUAGAGUAUGAUAGAGGAAAGCAGAAUUUCUAGUGUAGAGGUGAAAUUCGUAGAUAUUAGAAAGAAUACCAAUUGCGAAGGCAGCUUUCUGGAUCAUUACUGACACUGAGGAACGAAAGCAUGGGUAGCGAAGAGGAUUAGAUACCCUCGUAGKCCAUGCCGKAAACGAUGUGUGUUAGACGUUGGAAAUUUAUUUUCAGUGUCGCAGCGAAAGCGAUAAACACACCGCCUGGGGAGUACGACCGCAAGGUUAAAACUCAAAUGAAUUGACGGGGACCCGCACAAGUAGUGGAGCAUGUGGUUUAAUUCGAAGAUACGCGCAGAACCUUACCAACACUUGACAUGUUCGUCGCGACUCUAAGAGAUUAGAGUUUUCGGUUCGGCCGGACGAAACACAGGUGCUGCAUGGCUGUCGUCAGCUCGUGUCGUGAGAUGUUGGGUUAAGUCCCGCAACGAGCGCAACCCUCACUUUUAGUUGCCAUCAUUAAGUUGGGCACUCUGAAAGAACUGCCAGUGAUAAGCUGGAGGAAGGUGGGGAUGACGUCAAGUCCUCAUGGCCCUUACGUGUUGGGCUACACACGUGCUACAAUGGUAUCUACAACAGGAAGCAAGACUGCGAGGUCAAGCAAAUCCUUAAAAGAUACCUCAGUUYGGAUUGCWCUCUGCAACUCGAGUGCAUGAAGCUGGAAUUACUAGUAAUCGUGGAUCAGCGUGCCACGGUGAAUGCGUUCCCGGGUCUUGUACACACCGCCCGUCACACCAUGGGAGUUGGUUCUACCUUAAGGCAAGGUUUAAAACCCUUGACCACGGUAUAGUCAGC
This 939-nucleotide ribosomal RNA is filed under the name uncultured bacterium. RNAcentral describes it as "bacterial SSU rRNA". It matches the Rfam family "Bacterial small subunit ribosomal RNA", at positions 522 to 1472 of the family's 1533-position model. The record is from RNAcentral.